RNAcentral lists this long non-coding RNA (493 nucleotides) under Neodiprion lecontei (redheaded pine sawfly). RNAcentral describes it as "uncharacterized LOC124295141". The record is from RNAcentral. Lineage: Eukaryota; Metazoa; Arthropoda; Insecta; Hymenoptera; Diprionidae.
CACUUGUAUACGAUGAAAGUAUAAAAUAAAUAAUUUUAAUCAACUAUUUUCACGUAAAUCAAUAACAAACAGCAAUGUUGUUAUUUCUGCACGUUUCCGAGGUAUAACCCGAGGUGGUUGGGCGUGGUUGUGGGUGAUCGAGGUGAACGAGAAAGAGGACCAGAAAGACUAGGAGAACAAGGUGGACUAGGAGGACGAGGAUUUGUGCACGGUAUAACCCGAGGUGAUUAGCGGUGGAUGGAGGCGGUCGAGCUGGACGAGGUGGAGGACGAGGAAGACGAGGAUUUGUGCUCGUAUUUGACAACAGUGAUACCUUAUCACAUGGACACUGGCCCACCUAAUAAUCAAGCAUUACAAGUCCUCAUUAAGAUAUUGAAGGCUAUUAAUGAGGAUAGUCCAACGGUGCCCACAUUAUUAACGGACUCUAUAUUAAAAGAUCUGUGCCCCACCUAGUGAUCCACUAGUACAUAUCCUCCGACGUGACAUCGCUGUG